GGCGCGCGGAGCUCUUUCGGGAGCGCCGAUGUCGUCGGAAAGAUGACCAAACUUGAAUAUUUAGAGGAAGUAAAAGUCGUAACAAGGUUGCUGUAGGUGAACCUGCAGCAGGAUCAUUA
Molecule: ribosomal RNA, 119 nt
Filed under: Thrips hawaiiensis
Lineage: Eukaryota; Metazoa; Arthropoda; Insecta; Thysanoptera; Thripidae
Description: partial 18S ribosomal RNA
Rfam family: Eukaryotic small subunit ribosomal RNA
Source: RNAcentral